RNA transcript from Apus apus (common swift), 10606 nucleotides. It is a transcript of the gene named copine 3, with no coding region annotated. The record is from RefSeq and is a predicted model, not a curated record. The transcript is spliced from 18 exons. Lineage: Eukaryota; Metazoa; Chordata; Aves; Apodiformes; Apodidae.
CGGCAGCCCCGGGGCGGGGCGCGCCCGGUUGGCGUGGGCGUGGCCGCGGCGCGUGCCAGAGCUGCGCGGCCUGCGCUGGCCCCGGCAGGUGGCUGGUGUUUCCUGCUCCCAGGGACAGACACGAACUUCUGCAGAGCUCGAGAUAUCAGCCGUCUGAUUCGCCGUCCCUCAGCUUAACAAAUGGCGGCACAGUGUGUGACGAAGGUGGAACUGACUGUUGCCUGCACCAAUCUCUUGGACAAAGAUAUUGGUUCCAAGUCAGACCCGCUGUGUGUGCUUCUCCAGAACACGAGUGGUCAGCAGUGGUAUGAGGUUGAUCGCACAGAAAGAGUUAAGAAUUCCUUGAACCCAAAGUUUGCCAAGAAAUUCCUAAUUGAUUACUAUUUUGAGAUUGUUCAGAAACUUAAAUUUGGAAUAUAUGACAUUGAUAACAAAACCUUUGAUCUGAGUGAUGAUGACUUCUUAGGAGAAUUUGAAUGUACACUGGGACAGAUAGUUUCUAGCAGGACUCUGACAAAACCAUUAACACUUAAAAAUGGCAGACCUGCCGGAAAAGGAAGUAUUACGAUUACAGCAGAAGAAGUGAAGGAUAACAGGGUGGUUGUAUUGGAAGUAGAAGCAAGGAAACUGGACAAUAAGGAUUUUUUUGGAAAGUCAGAUCCAUAUCUGGAAUUCCACAAGCAGACUGGAGAUGGAAACUGGGUGAUGGUUCACAGAACAGAGGUUAUUAAAAACAAUCUGAAUCCUGUUUGGAGGCCCUUUAAAAUCUCUCUCAAUUCUCUGUGUUACAGUGACAUGGAUAAAGCAAUCAAGGUUGAGUGCUAUGACUAUGAUAGUGAUGGAUCUCAUGAUCUCAUAGGAAGUUUUCAAACUACAAUGUCAAAUCUGAAGGAAGCAUCUCGCUCUUCACCUGUUGAAUUUGAGUGUAUCAACGAGAAGAAAAAACAGAAGAAAAAAAACUACAAAAACUCUGGCAUUGUGAGCGUUAAGCACUGUGAGAUCAUAGUAGAGUGCACAUUCCUUGAUUACAUCAUGGGUGGGUGCCAGCUGAAUUUCACAGUGGGCAUAGACUUUACAGGCUCCAAUGGAGACCCUCGCUCUCCAGACUCUCUGCAUUACCUCAGCCCUAAUGGAGUUAACGAAUACCUAACAGCCAUCUGGUCUGUAGGUCUAGUCAUUCAGGAUUAUGACACAGAUAAGAUGUUUCCAGCCUUUGGAUUUGGUGCACAAAUUCCUCCUUCCUUUCAGGUGUCUCAUGAGUUCCCAUUAAAUUUUAACCCAUCAAACCCAUUCUGCAAUGGAAUCCAAGGCAUUGUUGAAGCGUAUCGGGCUUGUCUUCCUCAAGUGAAGUUAUAUGGACCAACAAAUUUUUCUCCAAUUAUAAAUCAUGUAGCAAGAUUUGCUGCUGCAGCUACACAACAACAAACAGCAUCUUUUAUGUCUUCAACAUCCUUUCACUAAGUGUAAGGAGCAGGAGAGAAAUUAAGAUUCUUGUACUUGGAGCACCUCUUCCAGCUUGCUCCUGCUGCUUGGUGCAAGAGUUUUACAUUAAAAGAAAACAAUGCAGGUGCUUGCUUUCCCCCUCAGGAAUGUGAAGAAUAAUGUGAGGAGCACUGUUCUCCAGCUGUGAAGGAGUGUUACAGAAAUAAAUGCUGCCAGUUGAGGUGGAAUGAUACCAGAUUUCAGCAAAACCUGGAGACUGGUGCCAAAUAUGUGGGUGAAACAGCGUUAUACUCUGACCAGUAAGUAAGGCAAGUGAGAACAUCAUGAACAACAGAGUGAUUCAUGUAAGUUACAAGCUGUGUUUGCAGGCACAGUGGUUUGCAGCCAUUUUUGUAUCAUACUGUGUUCUGGAUUUGUACUUAUUUUACAAAGUCAGCAACCUCUGUAUGUUUUUGUUUGUAUUUUUGCUAAGCUACUAAUUAGUGUUUCCUUCACAUGAGGAAAUACUGUGUGGAAUCAGUUAAUUUCUGGGCUUUAUUUAUUCAUUUAUUUGUAAUAAUAUUCAUAUGGGCAGAUAUUCUUGGUCAUGAUUAAGUCCCUGUGAAGUAUGGACAGGAUGUUUCUUCCAUCUACAGAAGUCUGUCAAAACACAAAAUGUUUUUGACUGUUCAGGCUGUUGACUGUCAGCUCACCGACUCCUGACCACUAGUCCUUCUUAGCAUUCUUCUUUCUCUCAAGUCAUUAAUAGCCCAUACAUAUUAUUGAUUUUUAUUUGUCCUGUCUUAGACUGAGGUUUUUCAGAGUGAGAAACAUCACACUUCAAUAUGCUCACAGUGCAGAUCUACACUGUUUGCAUAUUUAAAUGGUUUACUGUCACUUAUGAAGAUUAUAAAGAGAUUUUAUUUUUCUUCUCUCCCCUCUUUUCUCUCAUUCUGAUUAAUGUUUCAAUACCUGCCUCUCAUUGUCUAAAAAUGGCUAUAAGUUCUCCUCUUCCUUCUCAUGAAAUUGAGUAGAAAACUGGUCUACUAAUGACAAAAAAAGUGGAGAAGAUUUUGUAUAAAUUGAAAUGUAAAAUACCUCGCAUUAGAAAUGUAUUGCAUUGCAAUAUGCCUUCAGUCAUGCAUCAUGCCAUUUCAGUUUACAGUAGCUCAGACUGUACGGAUGAGACAAAGGGAGCUGAAAUGGCAAAAAUUAGGGGUUCUGUCUUGCCUGCAGUGAAAAUACAAGGACAGUCAGAUUACAGUCUUCCUCAUCAGCAUAUUUAAUUAAUUUUAAGCCUUUUAAAUACAAUAGUUUAUCUAAAAUAAAGACUGAACCAAAGAUAACCCUUCUUCAGGUUUGUUUACACAGAAGCAUUCAGAAAUAUUGAAGAAAACAGAUACAGAUUGUGAAGUCAAUAUCAAUGUUCUAAGGAUUAUUCUGCAGUGAAUUACAAGAAUUUUACUCGUCAGUCUCUUCAGUGAAGGAACUUUGGAGGAAUUAAAUGCAUGCUAAAGAGGAGAACUGAAUUUACAGCCUCAUUAUGUUUGACUUCCUGUUUUGAAUAUUGAACAUACUGUCUGUAAAAUGUGAGAGAGUGUCAACAGUGUAAUAUCUAAUGCAAAGCUCUCUUUUUAUAAUUAGGGAAAACACUUACUGAAAUAUUAUUUGAUACAGAACUAAGCAGAAAAUUUUUGUGAGUCUCAGACUUCAGUGGGAUCAUAAAGGAAUACAAAUUAAUCUGUCCCCAAGCCCCCACUUGCAAGGAGAAGUGUGCUGGUCAUAGCGUUUAUCUGUCAUAGCAACUAUUCAUUAACAGACAUUUUUGAGUGUCUAAGAAUGUUCAUAUGAUACCACAAUGAAAGGCAGUUUUACCAAGUGUCCUGUCACUGAGAAUAAUCAAAAGACGAUGCCUAAGAAAAGUUGCAUGGAAGUCUGUUGCAUUUCCCCUGAUGAACUUUCAUACUCAAAACUUUUUUAGAUCAAACCAAAUGUUAUUCCUGUGUAAUUAGUGACCCUCAGUGGUUAUUCUUUCAUUAAUCUCUCCAGAUUUCCACUGAAAAUAUUUGUCUUGUGUAUUUGACAGGAUGCCAUCUUUAAUUGAGAUUCUACAGCUAAACAAAUAAGAAACAAUUGAAGACAUGAGGGUAGAUAUUUCCUUAUACAUAGGCAAAGAAGAAAUAUAUAGACUUAAUAUAUGGAUUUUUUUUUUUUCUUUAAUUUCAAUAUAUUUUCCAGUAAAAUCUGGAAGUUCUUUGGAUUUAUUGAAAUCUUUGAAAACCAGAAACCAAGGAACAUUGUCACUGUUUAUAGCAUACUGGAGUAUUUGGAAAGACUUUGUAACACUUCCAUUGUUCAGCAUGUCUUGGCUUUUAAUAAUGCAACAUAUUUCAAAAUAGAUAUUUUUAAAAGAUAUAAUAGUUUUUAAAUUAUUAUUUUUACUUGCAAUCAGUUUGAAUCAGAAAUUUUCUACCAUAUGUCAGAAAAAGAAUAUGAAACCAUAUGUUUCCAGCUCUGGGACUGUGUCCCAGAGAAAAAACAGUUUGCUAUUUUUAUACUGGCCAGCAGGUGUCAAUACCCCAAAGUGGAGAAGCUGCUCGGCAGCCAGAUACAGUUAGAAAGAGUGAGGCUGGAACAGGGAUUAAAAGUAUUUUGGAUGUCUCACUUUUUUGAAAACAGACUUUGUGGAGCUUUUCUGUGCUUUAUCAUUACCAGGAAGAAAGCUGUCUCCUGAGGGGAAAGGGGGGAAGGAAAUUAAGCAACCCCAACAUCCAGAAAGGAGGUACCUCAUUUUCUUUUCCCACCAAUCCUAGUAACAGUAUUUUAUUCCCUGUCUACAGAACACCAAAGCUCUGCAGUCUCUGACUUCACCCUUCAAGGCUCUGUGCUCCCCAGCCCAUCUGGCUGAAUCCACCUAAGCAAUGGAAAAGUGGAUAAGAGUGGGAUACUUGGCUGUUUUGAUCAGUGCAACGGACUUCAGCCAAACCUGUUGAGGUGCUAUUGCACCCUAUCUGUUUUUGUCCUUAAGGUGCUAUUCUAAUACAUCUUAAUGGAUAUUUUUCUAUUUAAGAUCAUAAUAUCUGUUAGCUGCUAAAGUUAAAAAAUCUUAAGUGAAAUUUGUUUUCAACACAAAUUUCAGCAUUUAUAUGAUUGUGUGUAAAUAAUGUCCUUUUGGACCCAUUUUAGACUUGUGUAAAAGACAACCUUUUAAAGUUUUGUGUAGUUACAUGAUAUGUCUUCUCUAUAUUAGGCUUUGGAACUUUUUCAAUUAAUAGCAAAAAUAUCCAUCUUUCCGUGUUAUUAUAGAUUAAGCAUUUUGAGUACAGGCUGGGUAGCUAUUAAGAAAGAUACGUGAUUCUUGAGGGGGGGGUUUUUUGUGUUUUUUUUUUUUUCUUUUUUCUUUUUUUCUUUUUCCAGACUUCCACAGAAGUGGUGCUACAGGACGUUUUUAAACACUAUAAAUGUAAUAAUGAAAUAGUUGUAACCAUUUCAUUCUUCCACUGAUUUAACAUAUUUUCUCAAGGUAGGAGGUUAUUUUGGAGCAGUUUUUUUGAUCUUUGUUAAUAAAUAAAAAAAAAAGUUGUUAAAAGCUGACAUUAUUUAGGCAAAUAUAAAAUCUAUCAUAUAGCUCUCACAGUACUAGUCUCUGUCUACCACCCAUGAUGAAAUCAUGUCUGAAACUGAAUAUUUUGAACUAUUGAAAUUCUGGCCUUAAUUUCUUACCAGCUGCUAUUUUACAGUGAACUGGUAAGAGCUAGGAAUUUACAUACUCCAUUUUUAAUUUAAUCUAAUGUUGUCAGUCAGCAUCACAUGUCAAGACACUAUUUCCAUCAGAAGGAACUUAAAAAACAACAACCUGAAAGAUUAAAAUCCUCUGCCUCUUGAAGAUAAUAAUCUUAGUGAUUUUUAACAGAUUGCUUUAGCAGAUGGAGACAUGAUAAUCACUACAGUAAAUUACAUUAACAUGCUUUCAGACAGAGAUAUCACAUUUGCCACAGUAAUUUACAUUAACAUGAUUUGAAAAAUAUUUGAUUCCCAAAAAAAAGUAUUAAAAAUAACAUUUUAUCAAUUCACUCCACCUGUCACUUCUUCAGAUAAUUGUCAGUUUGGAGUGGGAUACAUUUUUACCAGUGAAUGUCAUGGCAAACAGGACAUAAAUAUGGUUUUGCUUUGGCAAUCUAUAGACACUAUGGUACACAGGAUCCUGCAUGGUACCACAACAAAACCAUGUACCAGGACAUGAAGAAGAUAACCCAAUUAUUGAUCCCCUAAUUAUUCAGUACUGUAAACCAGGCAUGAAGAUUUCAGGACAUUUGACUGGCAUAUCUCAUUGCCUUCUCUGUUUGUAAAAUGGGGAUUAUCCUCAUUCAUCUUCAGUCAGAGACGGUCUAAGAAAAUGAAGUAUCACUUGCCAAACACCUGUUAGAAGGAAGAGUAUCUUGACAGAGCUUGAAGAAUUUAAUCAUGCCCUGCAGAGCAGAACUUUAAGGUUGGUGAAAAAAAAAUGCUUGAAAAAAAAUUCAGUUAGGACAAAACAAGACAUGCUAUGUAUUUGUUCAUUCACUUAAUACUGUCCUUUUUUGAAAUGAAUGAGACAGAUGUCCUGAGGCCCAAAAGGUCUUACUGCAAAACACAGGGAAGCCUAUCAAGAUCUUCUGUGCAAUAUUAAUCCUGUCAUUUCCUUAUUUUAGAGUAUUUUUAUGUCCUUUUAAAUGUUGUUUUUUAUUUCUGAAUGGAAGUGGGGUGCUACUUACAAGCAGUUUAAUGGACUGUUUGCAAGAAAUGGAAUAGCAGUGGCUGUUUACCUGCCUGAUACCACACAAAUUUAGCAUUACUGGGAUAUGUUCCCUGUUCAGUAGUGCAAUUCUGUCUUCCUGCCUCAUCCACAGAGAUUUAGUUCACUUAGACAUUUCAGCUGUGUAGUUCACUUCCACUGAUGGGUCUUUUUCAAUAGGUGUUUUGCUGGUUUCUCAUGAGGUUCAGGUGUUGCUCGUCGCAGUGCUUUCUCAGUCUCAGUCCCAGUUUUUCCAAAGCCUUCUCAGAGCUUCCAAGAGUUUAGAGCAGUCUGGGUCCUACCACAGUGUGAGAAGCACCUACACGCUACAGCUUGAUUGCUGCAGCCAGGUAAGGUGUUGCCUACACUGGAAAUUUGUACAGAUGUAAGUAAGACUGGUGCAGUAAAUAAAUACACUCUCUCAUCUUAAUUCCUCUUCUCCUAUUAUGCAUGUAUAAUUGUAUGCAAGAUGUAUGCAAUGACAUGCCCCUAUUCUGUUGAGUAAGACAUUAUACUUGUAACUAAAAGAUUGUACCAGUAAAAUCUUAAGUAGAGAGGCGGGAAGUGAAAACUUGUGUGAGAAGAAUUGAUUUGUGUACUAACAUCUCACCCAAAGUGGCUGCAAAGUGCAUACCAUCCUAGGAAAUCUUCUAAAACAUCGUUUCUGUGUGCUUCCUUCCACCCAGUCUCAGUGGGAAACAAAGUGCAAUAUUUUUUUCCUCAAAAAAUACGUUUUACUUUUAAACAAACAAUAGAUCUUCACUCUUCUAGGUCACAAAAGUUCUGUUUUCCAAAACUAAUAAUACUCUCUGAAGAUGCUGCACAGAUUGCCAAAGUGACUACAAUAGUAUUCUGUCCAACAAUUAUAUAAAAAAAAAAAUUAAAUGUGUUAUUGUAAAACUUUAAAGAAAAAAAAAACACAUAGGGGUCUCAAGAGUGAGUUUAGGAUGUGUUAUGUGAAAAGAAGCUUAUUGGUGAUUAUCUUCAAGAAUUCCAUCGUAGUACAUAUAUUUUUUGCAUGUAAACAAACAUAGGAUAGUACAAUGAAUCUGGACAGUAAUGUUGCUACAUUAGAGCAAAUAAAAGACAGAGACAAAUGGUAUUUGCCUAUCUGUUUUUCUUCAGAAAGAAUGAGGUGCAAAGAGCUGUAAAUCUGUGUUAGUCAUAUAACUACAUGCUCAAAAAUAGUUUCACAGAAAUCAGUGGUGUUUCAUACAAGAACUAGAAUCUAUCUGCAUGUAUCAGCUUGGAGGACUGGGUUUUGAACAAUGAAUACACAUAGUGAAAAGUGAAGUUUUAAUAGUGUAAGAUGUCUUUAGUAAAACUAACAUGUCUAACACUUAUUUCUCUUGAAGCUGUUUCAGAGCAAUGUGAGGGAAUGUUGUGUAAGAUCCUGUGAUGUUGCUCACAGCCAGAGGGAACUGGAAGGCUAACAUUGAGCACAAUGGGCUGGACACAAUACACGGCUGCUUUCAAACUACUGUUUUCACCGAAUUGUUACUCAAGGACUAGUGACGACUCAGACCUGCUUGCUGUUCUGCACAUUUCAUUUGAUCUAAACCCAAACUUUUCAAGAGAACUCAAAGUCUGGCCAGUGAAAAAUCUUGGACACUUUUGGAAUUCUUACUCCACAUUCCUGAAUACUGUAAGUGUGAUAAACACACCAGUAAGAAUUGCAGAACAUGUUUUUCAGUCUGGAGCUAUUAAACAGAUUCAUUUUACUAUACUGAGAAAAUAACCUCAAUCUUCUAUUUUUCAUGCUUUGUAGGAACAUGAAGUGUUGAAGUGUUGAGCUGAGUUUAUUUUUAUAAAUAUUCUGCACUUGCAGGUGAAGUUUGACAGAAUGUCACAACUUAGUUUCCAUUUAAUUUCUAGCAAUUGCCAGUCUACACCUUCUCCUGAAUUAACAGCCUGGAGACAUUCAAAUUUCACAUUCUGAUUCAGCUGCACUCAGAUCUCAGUCUUUUCUUUCCCUCUCUUCCUUGAAAACUGGAUUUUUAAAAUUAAUUUUAUAAAAAAUAUAUUCUAGGUACCUGCUCUGGGACCUUUUUUCCCAACACAAAUCACAGUCCCCAAUGCUGUCAUUGCUGAUGAUAUUCCUUACAUUUAUAUACUAGUUUAUAUUAAAUCUAUGUGUUAAACUAAUUAAAUAACAGAGACCUGUACAGAUUGUAAUGAGUCUCUUUUUAAUUCAUGGUUCCUGGCUCCACUGUGUGGUUCUUCUGCAGUGUGGGAACAGUGCAGUUAUCCUUUAAUGUCAUGUGUCCUGGUUACCCUGAUUGGGAGACAUGAGGAGAGCACAUAGGAUAAAGAGUCUAAGUUAAAUUACACCAGUAGGGUGGAUGCAAGUAAAUAAUGAUUGUGUUGAACAAAGGAAUGUAUUUUUCUGCUAUUGCUAUGGUUAUUAGCAAAACUCUUGAUAGUUUAAGAUUGGGAGCCAGCUGUGUCUACAGUUAAGAGUAAUUGUUGCAGUACUGUGCAAUGCCCAAUGAAUUCUGGCUGGGCUUAUAAGUAAUACGAUGUGCACUGGUAGUCUUACAUGGCCAUGCAGGUUGCUUGAUCCUUUUCAACAUCUGUGUAACUUCUUGGACUUGAACGUUGGUAGCUGGAUUGACCUAGAAGUCUGAUAAAAACAAGGUUAAAAAACUGAGUACAGUGGGGUUAGAUUUGUUCUUUUGCUCUCCCCAUUGUUUUUCUUUGCUUCUCUAGAAAAAUAAGUAAUUGUUUUGGGCAAAAUACAGGCACAUACCACCUUCUUAUUCAGAACAAGAAAGAGGGAGAUCUUGGUUCAGAUCUGAGAUCCCUUUUAAGAUCUCCUGUCAGUGUCACAGUCCUGGCUUACGGUUUACUCUCUGUCUUAAAAUUAGUGAGUUAAAGUACCUGUGCUAUUAAAUUUGAGGACAGAUUAAUGAUAUAGAAGAGAUUAGAGUCUUGUUUUUCUCUACUGUCUGCUGUUAACAGUGAUGACAAUGUGGGAAUGCUCUGUGGAGCUGUGAAACAACACAGAAGCCUGUGGUCUCCAGAGAUGUGAGUUUCAGCCCUAGGCUUUACAUGAGUUUUUGUCACCUGAAGUUGUUAUUCUGGUGAAACUGUUCGAUUGGAAGAAACAUCUGAAUUAAAUCUUCAGACAUGUGAAAAGUCUUAGGGACAGCAGGGCUGAGAAACAUGUAGACCAACAAUAGUAUGCACAGAAACAGCAGGAGGAAGGAGGAAAUACGGUUUACUGUAGGGUUUAGUGUUUGUUUUCACAAUCCCUUCAUUCACUGAUACAUCUUUUGAUAGUCCAGAUUCCAAUAGGCAGCAAUUGAGAUGAUGUUACUAGUAGCUUUAAGUGGCUCUGGGGAGAAGGCAAAUUAUUAGACAUGCCAAAUUUUACUAUUGGAGGCACUUCUGAGUAACAGCACUUUGCUUGUUCAAGUCACCACGAACAGCUAAGGCAAUUAAAGCCUAGACCUCUACAUUUUAGAUUACUAUAUUGGACUCCCUCUGUUUGUAAUAGAAAUAAAGAUGUUUAUAGGAAAUUUUGUCUGCUAAAACAGGUCAUAUAACUUUAAAUGCAUACCAGUCUAAGUGUAUGAAGUUAGCUGAGAUUAAUCUUGUCCUUGGUUUCAUUUAAUAUAUGAGCCUUUAUCUCCCUCAAAAGUAAAUCAGCAUGGAAAGUCAUUAAGCAUUCUCUUUUAUACCCUUAAUGUCCUUGUAAGUUGAAAACUGUUGAUUAUCCUGUACUUUGAAACCUUGUUCUAUUUUAAGAGAUAGGAAUUUGUACUUUGAGAGAUUGUUCUUUGUCUAAGGCCAGUUCUGAGGUUUCAGGUAACCAUUCUAAACUGGCCACUAAAAAAAUGCUUCACAUACUAUCUUUGAGUUCAGAGGGAAAUGAGAUGAGAAAUCUGAGGAGAUGAGAAAGCAGAAGACGGACAGUUCUUAUGGUUAAAUAUACCCUUCAACUUUGAAAGAUACUUCUGAAGGUCUUGAAAGAACAAGAUGUCCUCCUCCAGCACCCUAGUACUCCUCAUGGGAGAUCGUGCAAUGAGGUUAGUAUUUUUGAGGGAUUUACACUGUGGUUGGACUCUCCAGAGCUUUUGGUCAAACAGGAAUAGCCCUGUGUGUUGGAAAGCUCAUCUUCUCCCUUCUGCUGACUCAGCAUGUGAUCUCAAGUGUAUCAUUGUAAGAACUGCCUUUCUCCAUUUUAAAGGAAAAACACUUGUGCUCUUCAAUAGAAUAGCAGAGGAAGCUUCUAGGCUCUGGUACCCACAUAAUAAAAUAUUGAGAGGACAGAAUAGAAGGGCUCAUAAGAGCCGUUAAUGAACCUCAAAUGGUUUGGAGGUUGUGUACUGGGCUUCUCUGUACUCCUUUUUUUUUAAAGUAUUUUGUGUAUAAUAAAUAUUUGAUAAAUAUAAGAUAGAUCAUUAA